This 467-nucleotide ribosomal RNA is filed under the name uncultured bacterium. RNAcentral describes it as "partial 16S ribosomal RNA". It matches the Rfam family "Bacterial small subunit ribosomal RNA", at positions 29 to 507 of the family's 1533-position model. The record is from RNAcentral.
ACGAACGCUGGCGGCGUGCUUAACACCUGCAAGUCGAACGGAAAGGCCCUGCUUUUGUGGGGUGCUCGAGUGGCGAACGGGUGAGUAACACGUGAGUAACCUACCCUUGACUUUGGGAUAACUUCAGGAAACUGGGGCUAAUACCGGAUAGGAGCUCCUGCUGCAUGGUGGGGGUUGGAAAGUUUCGGCGGUUGGGGAUGGACUCGCGGCUUAUCAGCUUGUUGGUGGGGUAGUGGCUUACCAAGGCUUUGACGGGUAGCCGGCCUGAGAGGGUGACCGGCCACAUUGGGACUGAGAUACGGCCCAGACUCCUACGGGAGGCAGCAGUGGGGAAUAUUGCACAAUGGGCGGAAGCCUGAUGCAGCAACGCCGCGUGCGGGAUGACGGCCUUCGGGUUGUAAACCGCUUUCGCCUGUGACGAAGCGUGAGUGACGGUAAUAGGUAAAGAAGCACCGGCUAACUACGUG